This 243-nucleotide ribosomal RNA is filed under the name uncultured bacterium. RNAcentral's name for it is "partial 16S ribosomal RNA". It matches the Rfam family "Bacterial small subunit ribosomal RNA", at positions 524 to 765 of the family's 1533-position model. The record is from RNAcentral.
UACGUAGGGUGCAGGCGUUAAUCGGAAUUACUGGGCGUAAAGCGUGCGCAGGCGGUUUUGUAAGUCAGAUGUGAAAUCCCCCGGGCUUAACCUGGGAACUGCGUUUGAAACUACAAGGCUAGAGUGUGGCAGAGGGGGGUGGAAUUCCACGUGUAGCAGUGAAAUGCGUAGAGAUGUGGAGGAACACCGAUGGCGAAGGCAGCCCCCUGGGUUAACACUGACGCUCAGGCACGAAAGCGUGGG